UGACUGCAAUAUUGGAGAGGAAGGCUGUGCUGCUCUGAUUUCAGCUCUGAGAUCAAACCCCUCACACCUGACAGAACUGGAUCUGAGCUUUUAAUACACCAGGAGACUCAGGGUGAAGCUGCUCUCUGCUCUCUACUGGAGGAUCCACACUGUAAACUGGAAAAGAAACUAGAGCUGAUUAAGUGCAGUAUUGGAGAGGAAGGCUGUGCUGCUCUGAUUUCAGCUCUGAGAUCAAACCCCUCACACCUGACAGAACUGUAUCUGAGCCUUAAUAAACCAGGAGACUCAGGAGUGAAGCUGCUCUUUGCUCUACUGAAGGAUCCACACUGUAAACUGAAGAAACUAUAUAUUUGACAGUGGAAACUCCACAAGCUCCAAACAACUGAAUCAAAACAACACGUCCUGAUCAAGACUGUCACCUGGACAAAUGCUGAUAUUGUAGUGAAUUUGCUUUCAUCACCUUAGGGAGGUGAAAUAGUGCAGUGAUGGGUACAUGUCACUGUUGACGUUAUGAUGUUUGGAUCACAUGUCUCUUAAGGUGUGGUUAUGAGUACAUCACAUAAGAAAGAUUGGUGUGAAACCUAACUUGUAGAGCCUCUUUCUGUAUCAUUCACACAAGGAAGACACAAGAGUAAUAAAAUUAGUUGUAUUAAGAAAUGAUAGACAAAUGUAAUCAAUAACUACUAAAUAAAUACAUGAAUGAAAAAGCAAAAGUAAUAAAGUAAUAAAGUGCAUAAGUGAUUA
Long non-coding RNA from Cyprinus carpio (common carp), 744 nucleotides. RefSeq lists it as uncharacterized. The transcript is spliced from 3 exons. The record is from RefSeq and is a predicted model, not a curated record. NCBI's taxonomy places the organism in Eukaryota, Metazoa, Chordata, Actinopteri, Cypriniformes, Cyprinidae.